This 260-nucleotide ribosomal RNA is filed under the name uncultured bacterium. RNAcentral's name for it is "partial 16S ribosomal RNA". It matches the Rfam family "Bacterial small subunit ribosomal RNA", at positions 524 to 777 of the family's 1533-position model. The record is from RNAcentral.
GACAGAGGGUGCAAACGUUGCUCGGAAUUACUGGGCGUAAAGCGCGUGUAGGCGGUCUCGCGAGUCGGGGUGUGAAAGCCCGGGGCUCAACCCCCGGACGUGCAUUCGAUACUACGAGGCUGGAGUACUGUAGAGGAGAGCGGAAUUCCCGGUGUAGAGGUGAAAUUCGUAGAUAUCGGGAGGAACACCAGUGGCGAAGGCGGCUCUCUGGACAGUGACGUGACGCUGAGACGGCGAAAAGCGGUGGGUAGCAAACAGGA